GACGAACGCUGGCGGCGUGCUUAACACAUGCAAGUCGAACGAAGAGCGAUGGAAGCUUGCUUCUAUCAAUCUUAGUGGCGAACGGGUGAGUAACGCGUAAUCAACCUGCCCUUCAGAGGGGGACAACAGUUGGAAACGACUGCUAAUACCGCAUACGAUCUGACCUCGGCAUCGAGGAUAGAUGAAAGGUGGCCUCUACAUGUAAGCUAUCACUGAAGGCGGGGAUUGCGUCUGAUUAGCUAGUUGGAGGGGUAACGGCCCACCAAGGCGAUGAUCAGUAGCCGGUCUGAGAGGAUGAACGGCCACAUUGGGACUGAGACACGGCCCAGACUCCUACGGGAGGCAGCAGUGGGGAAUCUUCCGCAAUGGACGAAAGUCUGACGGAGCAACGCCGCGUGAGUGAUGACGGCCUUCGGGUUGUAAAGCUCUGUUAAUCGGGACGAAAGGCCUUUUUGCGAAUAGUGAGAAGGAUUGACGGUACCGGAAUAGAAAGCCACGGCUAACUACGUG
This 510-nucleotide ribosomal RNA is filed under the name uncultured bacterium. Its description in RNAcentral is "partial 16S ribosomal RNA". It matches the Rfam family "Bacterial small subunit ribosomal RNA", at positions 28 to 507 of the family's 1533-position model. The record is from RNAcentral.